Molecule: ribosomal RNA, 240 nt
Filed under: uncultured bacterium
Lineage: Bacteria
Description: partial 16S ribosomal RNA
Rfam family: Bacterial small subunit ribosomal RNA
Source: RNAcentral
UGGCGAACGGGUGAGUAACGCGUGAGGAACCUGCCUCAAAGAGGGGGACAACAGUUGGAAACGACUGCUAAUACCGCAUAAGCCCACGGGUCGGCAUCGACCAGAGGGAAAAGGAGCAAUCCGCUUUGAGAUGGCCUCGCGUCCGAUUAGCUAGUUGGUGAGGUAAUGGCCCACCAAGGCAACGAUCGGUAGCCGGACUGAGAGGUUGAACGGCCACAUUGGGACUGAGACACGGCCCAG